Molecule: long non-coding RNA, 412 nt
Organism: Sinocyclocheilus rhinocerous
Lineage: Eukaryota; Metazoa; Chordata; Actinopteri; Cypriniformes; Cyprinidae
Exons: 3
Source: RefSeq, a predicted model, not a curated record
UUUGUGUGUGUGUUUCUCAGCCGAGGCUCUGGACGUGGGCGAGUAUCUGGAGAUCUCUGGGAUCAUUCGAUCUCAGGCCGGACGUUACGAGUGUAAAGCGAGCAAUGACGUCUCCGCUCCUGAUGUCAAAUAUGUCAGCGUAGUGGUUAACUCCCCGCCGUACAUUAAGGAGGUGCGGAGCUCCGAGACGCCGGUGGGACAGACUGGAGUCCUGCACUGCGAGGCGUCUGCGGUUCCUCAGCCUGAGUUUGAGUGGUACAGAGACGAGCGCAGACUGUCCAGCUCUCAGAGCAUCAGUAUUCAGAUCAGCGGCUCUCGCACGCUGCUGGUGGUCGCUAACGUCACAGAGAACGAUUAUGGAAACUACACGUGUGUCGCCACCAACAGACUGGGAAUCCACAACGCCAGCGUG